UGAGAGUAUACUGUAGUACGGUAUCGGUCGCUGCGUCUCGCGGGGUCUGCAGUUGCGUAACGGACUGCAGUGCAUUAACACACAUGUUCCUCCAAGCGUGAAGCAUGCAACACUCCACCUCCCCAACCCAGAACACACUGAGUACAUCAGAAACACUAAGCAGAACCCCGACUGGAGCUGAACUGGGAUCUGCAGAACAGAACUCACGAGCAGGUCAGUAUGAUCAUCAGGCUGGGUCGACUUACUCCUGGAUACUUCAAACUUCUGCAGACACAGAUGUCAGGUGAGGUUCAGGUGCAGCCGAAGUUUGGACCUGUCAAUCAUGUUGCCAUGGCGAUGGCGAUGGUUGGUGUGGGCAUGUCGUUCUACAGCGCCAGGCAGAUGGGUCAUCAGCAGGUCCAACACAAGCUGCACUAAAGACCCGAAGAACCACACUAACAGAACCUCAGUACUGUGCUAUAGAUCCGGAUAACCUCAGUUCUGUGCUACAGACCUGGAGAACCACACUAACAGAACCAGAGAUCCAUUCUGAAGCAGCCAAAGAACUACAUUAACACAACUGGAGAGCCACCGUUGCAGAACCAGAGAACCUUUCCAAUAGUACCAGAAAACCGAACUGAACAUGCUAACACAUCUGGAGAGCCAAGUUACAGGUGCCAGAGAAACAACUGAGCAGAACCAGAGAACCACUCUGGUUCUGUGUUCCCUGUACCGUGCACUGUUAACCCAAAGUCAUCAUGGGCAGUAAUUAACAGCUGUACUUUACUACUUUAGUAUCUGUACUUUGGUACUUUAGUGUCUGUAACUUAGACCAUUAUUAUGUGUACUUUAGCACUUUAGUAUUUCUACUUUAGUAUCUGUACUUUAGUACUUUAGUAUGUGUACUUUAGUAUUUUAGUAUGUGCACUUUAGUACUUUUGUAUCUGUACUUUUAUUACUUUAGUAUGUGUCCUUUAGUACUUUAGUAUGUGUACUGUAGUACUUUAGUAUGUGUACUUCAGUAUUUUAGUAUGUUUACUUAAGUACUUUAGUAUGUGUA
Molecule: long non-coding RNA, 1039 nt
Organism: Astyanax mexicanus (Mexican tetra)
Lineage: Eukaryota; Metazoa; Chordata; Actinopteri; Characiformes; Acestrorhamphidae
Exons: 3
Source: RefSeq, a predicted model, not a curated record